Molecule: long non-coding RNA, 905 nt
Organism: Peromyscus leucopus (white-footed mouse)
Lineage: Eukaryota; Metazoa; Chordata; Mammalia; Rodentia; Cricetidae
Exons: 3
Source: RefSeq, a predicted model, not a curated record
CUCCAGAAUAAACCAUCUGUUUAUUUCCUUUGAUGUAAGAACUGUGUUUUUAUACCUGCAGUCUUUGGCCACCAAAUGUGAGGCCCCUAAAAGACAAUCAGCUUCUCAUUGUCAGAAUCAGCUGGAUUAGGACCGGGUGCCAGCAUUGUCCUGCACAACAUCAUCCUGCACUUCGUCAUCACCCCCGGAUGCUGGGCAGAAGGUGACGCUCACCCACUCCGAAUGUUCCUCUGCAAACUCAGCCCUGACUCUCACGGUGUGGUCGCCGUACUUAGAAAGAUUUGAGAAGUCACACUGGGUAGAGGCAGUGUUCUUACAGUGAUCUUGGAAAUACCAAGUGGAGAAAACUUGGAGACGAAACGUCAAAAUCUGCCUCACUAGAGAUGCUGCAGAACGACCCUUUGUCACCCACCGGACUCUGGACUACAGAUAGAUGAAUUGAGGUGUAAAAGAGCGCCCUGAUGUAAACACCCUCCCAGUCUGCCUGCCAGAGUGUGUCCAGGAAGGUUUGACAUAUCCUGGAUGCCUGGAUGUGAGCGGCACUUUCUUAGGAACUGAGGCCUCAGACUGACUUUAAAAAGGAGGGAGCGAGCCAAGAAGCAGCUUCCUCUCUGCUUCCUGACUGGAUGCCUGCGUAUGACAGGCUCCCCACAGUGAUGGGCUGUACCCUCAAACCAAGCCUCCCCCCAAAACCUUUCCUUCCUCACGUCGCUUUGUCAGAUGUUGUCAUAGCAAUGAGAGAAGAAAUUAAUACAGCAAGGCAGAGAGUCCAGGGAGGAAAAAAGAGAGUUAAUACUAAAAACUGGCAAAUCUCAAUGUAGAUGCUCUAGCUUUUAUUACUAUUCUUAAAACGUUGAAAUGUUCGGUUUGUAUGAAAUUAUCUCAAACUAAGAAAAAACAUUAAA